UACAGAGGGUGCAAACGUUGCUCGGAAUCAUUGGGCGUAAAGCGCACGUAGGCGGUCCAGCAAGUCGGGUGUGAAAGCCCAGGGCUCAACCCUGGAAGUGCAUUCGAAACUGCUGGACUUGAGUACCGGAGAGGGUGGCGGAAUUCCCGGUGUAGAGGUGAAAUUCGUAGCUAUCGGGAGGAACACCAGUGGCGAAGGCGGCCACCUGGACGGGUACUGACGCUGAGGUGCGAAAGCGUGGGGAGCAAACAGG
Molecule: ribosomal RNA, 253 nt
Filed under: uncultured bacterium
Lineage: Bacteria
Description: partial 16S ribosomal RNA
Rfam family: Bacterial small subunit ribosomal RNA
Source: RNAcentral